This 507-nucleotide ribosomal RNA is filed under the name uncultured Glomeromycotina. Its description in RNAcentral is "partial small subunit ribosomal RNA". It matches the Rfam family "Eukaryotic small subunit ribosomal RNA", at positions 591 to 1092 of the family's 1831-position model. The record is from RNAcentral. Lineage: Eukaryota; Fungi; Glomeromycota.
CCAAUAGCGUAUAUUAAAGUUGUUGCAGUUAAAAAGCUCGUAGUUGAAUUUCGGGAUUGACGUGACGGUCAUGCCUUAAGGGGUAUGAACUGUUGCAGUUGAUUUCUCACCUUCUGGAGAAACUUGAUGUCCUUUAUUGGGUGUCUUGCGGAUCCAGGACCUUUACCUUGAAAAAAUUAGAGUGUUUAAAGCAGGCAUUUUUGCUCGAAUACAUUAGCAUGGAAUAAUAGAAUAGGACGGCAUGGUUCUAUUUUGUUGGUUUCUAGGAUCACCGUAAUGAUUAAUAGGGAUAGUUGGGGGCAUUAGUAUUCAAUUGUCAGAGGUGAAAUUCUUGGAUUUAUUGAAGACUAACUACUGCGAAAGCAUUUGCCAAGGAUGUUUUCAUUAAUCAAGAACGAAAGUUAGGGGAUCGAAGACGAUCAGAUACCGUCGUAGUCUUAACCAUAAACUAUGCCGACUAGGAAUCAGACGAUGUUAAUUUUUUAAUGACUCGUUUGGCACCUUACG